UCUAUUUUUCCUUCUCAAUCCCUCCCCUUCCUGCAAAAAUAAAAAAACCCCAAACAAGGCCUAAAAUUUUCUUUGCUCGAGGAGUGAUUCAGAGUGGGUUGUCUGCCACUGCGUCGAUUGGAGUCUCUCGUGUUGCUCACAUGAACUGAAAUGGUUCUCGGCUUCUCGCAUUGCUGGCCUGAAACUGAGAUUGAAAGCUGCGUGGGUACUUGGAGGUUGCAUUUUCACUGAUUUGCUUUCGAGCUUCGUUCUCCCUCACUUGCCUCAGGAAAAGACCCGGUUAGAAGGAAAUUGUACGUCUUGGUGUGACAAAUUGCAUUGAACUUCCCAUCUACGACGGAAGGUGCCCUACGGCGUGAGACGGCAUGCCAAGGGCCGACGCGAGGAUCAGCGCCUUCACUAUUUUCAUUUGCAGAACGGUUCCUUGAGAAUGGAGGGCUUAGAUGAUUUUUGAGUGUUUGAUGUAUCUCACGGUUGUGAUUAAACUAGGGGCACCUGCAUGUUACCAAUUCCCACUCCCUUUCACGGGCACGGUCAAAGUCGAAGCGUUAAAAUGGAACAUGGAUUGGGCUUACCACUUGCUUCAGAUGAUGAUGGAGACAAAGAAUAUUUAAUGGAGUUGAGUAUAAA
This is a long non-coding RNA of Neltuma alba, 630 nucleotides long. RefSeq lists it as uncharacterized. The record is from RefSeq and is a predicted model, not a curated record. The transcript is spliced from 4 exons. Lineage: Eukaryota; Viridiplantae; Streptophyta; Magnoliopsida; Fabales; Fabaceae.